GACGAACGCUGGCGGCGUGCUUAACACAUGCAAGUCGAACGGAAAGGCCCUGCUUUUGUGGGGUGCUCGAGUGGCGAACGGGUGAGUAACACGUGAGUAACCUGCCCUUGACUUUGGGAUAACUUCAGGAAACUGGGGCUAAUACCGGAUAGGAGCUCCUGCUGCAUGGUGGGGGUUGGAAAGUUUCGGCGGUUGGGGAUGGACUCGCGGCUUAUCAGCUUGUUGGUGGGGUAGUGGCUUACCAAGGCCUUGACGGGUAGCCGGCCUGAUAGGGUGACCGGCCAAAUUGGGACUGAGAUACGGCACAGACUACUACGGGAGGCAGCAGUGGGGAAUAGUGCACAAUGGGCGGAAGCCUGAUGCAGCAAAGCAGCGUGGGGGAUGACGGCCUUCGGGUUGUAAAGCGCUUUCGCCUGUGACGAAGCGUGAGUGACGGUAAUGGGUAAAGAAGCACCGGCUAACUACGUG
RNAcentral lists this ribosomal RNA (468 nucleotides) under uncultured bacterium. Its description in RNAcentral is "partial 16S ribosomal RNA". It matches the Rfam family "Bacterial small subunit ribosomal RNA", at positions 28 to 507 of the family's 1533-position model. The record is from RNAcentral.